UUUAGUGACCAAACUGAGAACGCGAAAAGCGCAAGUUGUAUCGCCCCUCUCGUUUCCUAACUUCUGCUCUAAGAAAUCGCAGACUGAGAAAUGAAGAAGAGAGGCUCUCGCAGAGUGAGUCUGCCGAUGGCGUCUCUUGCCGCUCCGAAGGAGACGUCGAUCGUGCUUGACGAGACUCUAAUGCUUUAGUGACUACGACAGCAGCAGCAACGAGAACCAUUCUGAACUCCGUUCACAAAACCCUAUCCUCUGUGCCUGUUGUCUUCUCGCCUCUGGAGAGAACAAUCAUAUAUACUAUAUAGAUCACGCGUCUCCCAUUCUCGCCUCGACACGAUCUAGGACGUAUUGUCUUCUCGCCUCAGCCGAUCUGGAGAGAAAUCUUAUAAAUCGAUCACGCCUCCCAUUCUUGCCUCCACAAAAGCUUGAAGUGUGCAAAAUAUCGAUCACUGAGCUUUCGAAGGUUUUUGUGAAUGAAGUUAAUGGUCUCAAGCAGCAUUUUGAAACUUCAUCAACUUAGGUUCCUCUUGACCAAGGCACCAAGCUAUACUUGCAAAGAGAAAUUUCCCAUUCUCGUCUCCACAACGCUUGAAGGUACUUUUCUCUCUAUAAUUCAAAUGCGACUGGGUAGAUUCUUCCAGCUCUCAUGUGACUUGGAUAAUGAUAUUUUGUUACAAAACAACGUCUCUCUGUUUGGUUGCCAAUUGCCAUCUAAACAGAGGAAAGGACCGAUAUAAUUGAAAUUUGACUGUAACAUUUGAGAAUUUGAAAGUGUAUUAGGCGUCUCAAGUAGAAUGAGAAAUAUUUGAAUUCCAAACAUUUUUAACCCUGCACCAUGUUCAUUGGUUACUUUCUUCAGGGUUUCUUGGCAGCCAAACAGAUUAUUCUAAGAGUAUUUGGUGUCUCAGCCCAUAUAUAUUACGCGACAUUCAAUUUUUUUUAACCGUAUGAUAUUUCAUAGCUAUUUUUCAUUGUGGAUAGUUCAUUGAAUGAUGUAGCCUAUUAUGGUAUUACCCUUAUCUAUCACUGGAAUGGCUUUGUUCUUUAUUUAACUUCCUUUCCUACUAAAUGAAAUCAAGAAACAUUGGGACUGUGAUUAUUUAGACUAAUCCAUAGUUCACAUUAUGAAUAUCAUGUUCUUAAUUCAAUCUUGUUACAUUUUCAAGAGGUAUAAGGUGACAUCUAUUGAACUACAUUGUUUACCGAAUGAAUAACUAUAUGUGCAUUGAGUGUUCUUUGUUUGCUAAUUUCCUAAUCAAAUCCACCAUUGUCGACCAGGCAUGUAGUGUCUAUUUCUAAAUGGAUAUUUUCCAGGCGUAAUGCUUACCUAGUUGACAACUCUGAUUAUUAACAAAUAGUACAUAUGCGAACUUGUUAUUUAAUCCUUUUGUGUGUUGUAUUGUUUACUCUUCAUUCAAUUUUUCACUGCACAAAAUAUCCGUCACUGGGGGGGUUUCGAAGGGUUUUGUCAGUGAAAUUAAUGGUCUCCAGCAGCGUUUUGGAACUUCAUCAACUUAGGUUCAUCGUGACCAAGCUAUGCUAGCAAAGAGAAAUUACUUAGAUUAAAUCGUUGAGUAAAUUGAGCAAUCCACUCUUCGCUUCCUUGUAAAAGUAAUCACAAGAAAAUCAGAACCAAUAAUCACAAAAAUCGAUGGAUACACAUACUAAGAUUUCAAAUUAUUAUAAUUGAAUGGACUGAUAAUAAAAUAAGUGCCCGAUACUCACAUGCUCAU
Long non-coding RNA from Tripterygium wilfordii, 1730 nucleotides. RefSeq lists it as uncharacterized. The record is from RefSeq and is a predicted model, not a curated record. NCBI's taxonomy places the organism in Eukaryota, Viridiplantae, Streptophyta, Magnoliopsida, Celastrales, Celastraceae. The transcript has 3 exons.